RNAcentral lists this ribosomal RNA (465 nucleotides) under Vreelandella stevensii. RNAcentral's name for it is "partial 16S ribosomal RNA". It matches the Rfam family "Bacterial small subunit ribosomal RNA", at positions 338 to 795 of the family's 1533-position model. The record is from RNAcentral. Lineage: Bacteria; Pseudomonadati; Pseudomonadota; Gammaproteobacteria; Oceanospirillales; Halomonadaceae.
CCUACGGGGCGCUGCAGUGGGGAAUAUUGGACAAUGGGCGAAAGCCUGAUCCAGCCAUGCCGCGUGUGUGAAGAAGGCCUUCGGGUUGUAAAGCACUUUCAGUGGGGAAGAAAGCCUUGGGGCUAAUACCCUCGAGGAAGGACAUCACCCACAGAAGAAGCACCGGCUAACUCCGUGCCAGCAGCCGCGGUAAUACGGAGGGUGCGAGCGUUAAUCGGAAUUACUGGGCGUAAAGCGCGCGUAGGCGGUCUGAUAAGCCGGGUGUGAAAGCCCCGGGCUCAACCUGGGAACGGCCUCCGGAACUGUCAGGCUAGAGUGCAGGAGAGGAAGGUAGAAUUCCCGGUGUAGCGGUGAAAUGCGUAGAGAUCGGGAGGAAUACCAGUGGCGAAGGCGGCCUUCUGGACUGACACUGACGCUGAGGUGCGAAAGCGUGGGUAGCAAACAGGAUUAGAUACCCCAGUAGUC